CAGUAUAUAUUUAUAAAGACGACAUCAAUCAUAAUAAUAGAAAGCAGUUAAGAUAGUAGUUUAAGGUGUUUAGGGAAUUGCAGUCAUCCAUAGAAUAGUGUGGAAUUGAAAACUAAAGUACUAGAGUUUCUCCUGGAAAUUACAGAGAAUUUAAAACUUUAAAUGCACUAAAGUUCUUCAAAAUAAGAUGAGUUCAGGAAAUAAAAGCUAGCAAAUCUAAGCUGCAGCACUGCCGUCCUCAUCAAGAGCUAUUGCCAAAGUAUCCUCCUCGCCAUUUGCUUCCAUCCAAGUGGAUGAUUAUCGCAAAAGGAAACACAUACAACAUAACACAAACACAACCAAGCAAGGGUGAGCUAAUUAUAUAAAAAGCAUACAUCAUGUCAAACAUAGAAUAUAGAAGAGUUAAUUUAAGUCAAACAAGAUAAAACAUCCAUCCUAACAUGUUGAAUACUAGACUCGACUCGUCCGGACUUUAGAAAUGAGAGUUGAGUUAUGGCGGGUCAUGCACCCAUGGUGACUUGUGAAACUUGGGUUCUCCAUCCUGCCACACUCAUGAGGUUAGCCUGUUCCGCGUCUUGGAGCAUACUGGAAGCCUCCAAGACUAAGAUCUCCCGCUACUCCUCACCAUAUGGUCCAAUCCUCUCUACGUGAGAAGAAAGGCUAUUGGAGUGUCAGGAAGACUCCCAAGACUAAGUUCCUACUUUCAUUCUAAAACACUAAGAAUCUCACCAAGAGAUUUUGCACUUUGAAUCACACUUACUAACUUGAACCAUAAUGUACUUUGAAACAUACCAUGAACAACCUCGAACUCCUACUUCAUCCAUUUUAUNAUCAUACACUUUNAGGUCACGAAGAUCAUCCAGGAUAUAAUACAAUGCAUUCUCAAACAUGUUUCACAAAUCAAGCAAAUCAACCAUUGAUUUAGAGAUGUUAAUUUAUAACUCAACAACAUGACUCAACAUAUGUUCCUCUCGCAUAAAAGUUUCUAGUUUAUUAUCAUCUCAACUAUAAAACUCAAUAAAGUUGCAAAACAUCAAUAUUUUAGUACAGAAACAACAGUGAAAACAACCUAAUACAUCAAAGAUGUUAAUGCAGUAACAACAAUCAAAACAGCUCAAUACAACACGAAUUUUAGUCAAAACAACAAUUAAUUUUCUGCAGCAUUUUAAUCAAAAUAGCAAAAACAGAAUGUGCAGAAUUCCGAAACAGCAACUGGUAUAGAUUUUAUAACAGCAACAACAAAGUGAGCACUUAACAUAUAAGCUGGAAUCUAACAUAACACAACCAACAUAUAAUGAUACCUUAUUUUUUUUUCUAUCCAUAACAUUAUAAAAAUACAAUAAUAUAUAUAUAUAUAUAUAUAUAUAUAUAUAUAUAUAUGUAUAUAUAUAAUAUUAUCUUAUCUUAUAUAAAUCAAUAUAAUUUCCCUUUUUAAAACAUUAUAUUUAAUAGAUAUACCAUAUCUACAGCAAACAAAAUGAUUCUGCACUUAAAUCUAAAACUAAAGGUUCUAUAUUGUUAAUCUAAAAAAAUAGCUUAUUAUUUAAAAAAAAAACUGAAACGACAAUUAAAUAAUGCCGAAAUCACUUUAAUCAAAACUAAAAUAUUCUAUAUUCUUAAUAUUGAAAAGAUAGAAUAUUAAUCAAAGAAAAUUGAAACUGAAAGAAGCUUCGUAUAAAAGAAAUAAAGGUCAUAUAUUUUCUUUGAAAGGUAUAAAAAUUUACAUUAUUAUAAGAUCAAACUCGUGAUUUGAGGGUCCCGCAAUUUAUUGUUUGAGAACAAGAAAAAUUGUUUGGAGGCAUUACAGUAGAUGCAAUGGCAAUAAAAAAAAAAGAAAGCUUUGCAUCUCAUUCUUUAAAAAGUUCAUAAGAAAAAAAAACUUUUAUAACCUAAUAACAAUUAAAGAAGGGUAUUUUAAUUUAGAAGAAAAACUGCACAACCACUAAUAGAAUAAAAACACCAUACGUCGCAUGUUGAAAAGAACAUGGAAUGAGACACUAAAUUCAAAAACUUCGGUACAAAUAAACAAAUAGAUUAAGUACAUCUUAUUUAUGCAUGAAUACCAUGGAUCAAACAACCUGAACAUCAUAAGUAUACAAACCAACAAUCACAAUCUCGUUCAAAUUCUCUAAACGAUGCACUCAAAAUCAUACAAAGCAAUCAGCCACAUAUUCAUCAACAUAAAACAGAAACUAAUUCACUAAAACUCAAUCAAACAAAAUAAAUCAAAUUAACUCCCCUUACCUGGAAAGCUUAACAGUAACUUGUUAAGAAUGCCCUAGGAUCGUAUCCACACCGCGUUGAUCCUACAGAACCUACAAAUCACCAAAUUGGUGAUAGAACAUAGCUCUCAGAGCUCAAAUAGACAGAGAACGGAAGGAAAAACGUACAAGGCACAUGAACCCAACAAAGUUGCAUGUCCUAGGUUUUAGAAUAGUGGAAGAGAAGGGGAAAAUUACUUACCGGAACGAAUCGAUGAAAUCGAUCGGUUCAAAGUAUAGUCCUUGACACCGCGAACGUGUAGGCACCUUCAGAUUAAAAUUUAAACGGUUCAGUGUUGAGAUCUUUUAGAGAGAAGUCAAAGCUAUGCUUAGGAAGAAAGGUUCUGUUUAGAGAGAGAAGGAGAAAAAGCAAAAAUGAAGAAUCUGAUUUUUGAAAAAGAAAGACCCCGUCUAAGGCUGAGGCACUCUAAACUUAUGGGUCUGGCUGUCCCAAUUCAUAAGGCCCAAUGGCCCUAAGCUUAUUUUCAGGUCCUUACAUUUUAUCAAUAAUUUCUUGAUUUUGUCAUAACUAAGUCAGUG
This 2801-nucleotide long non-coding RNA is filed under the name Vigna radiata. Its description in RNAcentral is "long non-coding RNA (VRAD_LNC003285)". The record is from RNAcentral. Lineage: Eukaryota; Viridiplantae; Streptophyta; Magnoliopsida; Fabales; Fabaceae.